UGAGGCUUUAGCCUAAUUAAGGCGGUUGAGUUGCAGUCAGUAGAUGUAGAUUAAAGUUCUACAGGCCUUC
Molecule: transfer RNA, 70 nt
Filed under: Pachydactylus punctatus
Lineage: Eukaryota; Metazoa; Chordata; Lepidosauria; Squamata; Gekkonidae
Description: tRNA-Ala
Rfam family: tRNA
About the family: Transfer RNA (tRNA) molecules are approximately 80 nucleotides in length. Their secondary structure includes four short double-helical elements and three loops (D, anti-codon, and T loops).
Source: RNAcentral